This 253-nucleotide ribosomal RNA is filed under the name uncultured Agrococcus sp. RNAcentral's name for it is "partial 16S ribosomal RNA". It matches the Rfam family "Bacterial small subunit ribosomal RNA", at positions 524 to 776 of the family's 1533-position model. The record is from RNAcentral. Lineage: Bacteria; Bacillati; Actinomycetota; Actinomycetes; Micrococcales; Microbacteriaceae.
UACGUAGGGUGCAAGCGUUGUCCGGAAUUAUGGGGCGUAAAGAGCUCGUAGGCGGUUUGUCACGUCUGCUGUGAAAUCCCGAGGCUCAACCUCGGGCUUGCAGUGGGUACGGGCAGACUAGAGUGCGGUAGGGGAGAUUGGAAUUCCUGGUGUAGCGGUGGAAUGCGCAGAUAUCAGGAGGAACACCGAUGGCGAAGGCAGAUCUCUGGGCCGUUACUGACGCUGAGGAGCGAAAGCAUGGGGAGCAAACAGG